This 65-nucleotide transfer RNA is filed under the name Chaetopleura apiculata. Its description in RNAcentral is "tRNA-Gln". The record is from RNAcentral. Lineage: Eukaryota; Metazoa; Mollusca; Polyplacophora; Chitonida; Chaetopleuridae.
AAAAAGUAGUGUAAAAGCCCGUAGGACUUUGAUUCCUAAAGUAAAAACUAAAUGUUUUUCUUUUU